Molecule: long non-coding RNA, 5649 nt
Organism: Pezoporus occidentalis (night parrot)
Lineage: Eukaryota; Metazoa; Chordata; Aves; Psittaciformes; Psittacidae
Exons: 4
Source: RefSeq, a predicted model, not a curated record
AAGUGACUUCAGUUCCGCACUCUACAAACUCUGCUCUAAGAAAUGCUGACAUAUUGCUCACAAAGGAAAAAGGCAGAAUCAGCCAUGAAAUUAAGAAGGGAAAAUCACCAUAGUGUUUACAACAGGGCAAAACCCAACUUCAGAGAGGGCUCAGGCAAAGGGAAGCAAGAAAGAUCAGCAUUACUUAUUUAUCUACUGUGGUACAUUCCAGUUUACAUAGUUAUCUGUAACUAAAUAACAGGAACCAGUCUCUCUCUGAUGACAGCCAGAGCACGAGUUUAGAGCUCAGAAUGACAGGAGGCACUUCCAUAAUACAUAACAAUACCACUAGUGGGAAUUCAGAUCUUAGGCAGUGUAUAAAGACUGAAGAGACUUGUGUGAUGUUACCCUGCAGAACAUCCAGUUAUUCCUUGGAUUCCUUAUUCAUGAAAAACUUGGUGAUCCUCAAACAACAAGAGCUCUACCUGACUGGAAUUCCUAGUGCUCCCAGCUGAAGCUAAACAGUAGACCCAAAAGCCUGGAAAAAUGACAGCCCCAGUACUGCUCAGGGCUGAUUUACAAGAGGGAACAGCUGCAUUGAUGUACAUGGCCCAUGUGUAAGCCAAGCUGAGAACUGGAAGCUAAUUUAGUACAGAAUUUUAGUCAGUAAAAUCCCAUCAUCAGUUGGCAGCAGGAGGAAAACCGGAAAACAGGCAAGAAUCACAUCAAAUAUUGACUUUGUACAAGAUGAAAUUCAAGCAUAGGCAAGAGUGCAGAGUAAUUCACAUGGGAAUACAGAAGAAAUCAGACCUGAAAUAUGAAGUAUAAUUUGUGGAGACAAAUCAAAAGGAAAACCUAUUUUGUAUUUAACACCACAGCACUUAUGAUCUCUAGAACCUCAGCAAAACAGCAAUGGAGACCUUGUACAUUUGUUUUGGGGAAAGAGAGCAGGAUACUGGGAAAUGCUGUCCCUAACCCAGAGAAGUGACAGUGGCUAACUGAGCUGGAAUAUUCUCCACAAUUAUUCACAUUUUCCAUAAUUAACACUGCAAGAUGAGAGGAGACAUGGGUGGUGCAAUACAUACAAGGUGCCAGUAAAAUGUGAAAAGUAAAAGGAUUUUAUUGACUGGUAUGUUCUUCCUGAAAACUCAUUGAAAUGUACAAACUGGACAUCGAGUAACUGAUUUGUACAUUCUGUAAGUUACACUGAUUCUUGCAGCCACUUGAAAGAGAGAAUAUUAUUUUCACUUACAGGAUGUUCACAUCAUUGCAGACACCAAAAAGGUUGAUACAUUCUAGUCUAAAAGUGAAACCAAAAUAGAACUGGACAUAAUGGUACACCGCUAUAUGCCAAUCCUAUUGACUCAACAUGCGGCAGUUUCACACAUCGAUUUGUUAAGUACCUACUGUACACUUAGUGAAACACCCGACCAAGCAAAUGUCUGAAGUCAUGAUUGCUUAUUAAAUUAAACCCCUUUUCCUAGACUUCCACCUUAGCUGUAGAGAUAAAUGUGUUUAACUGAACUUGAUUCCCUGCAGAACACUCAGACAACUACGCCUGGCCAGUAUCUCUUUGAAAACCGUGGGUUACACUUCACAAGAUUCAUUGCGGGUGUAGAGAUCUACACAAAGAUGUGGUUAUUGUCAACAGGCUUCAGAGCCCUGGCAAAACAGAAUGCCCUGUUCUCUGUCCAUAAGCUAUGACCUGGCAGAGAGUACUAUCCUCAGUUCAUGACUGCCUAUUGGUAAACUUAGAGCUACUUACUGACUCAGGCCUGCUAGAACAGUGAAGGUGUAUUUCAGAGCUGCCUGAGGGCUUCAGAGCUUCAAGUCUCAGAACUUCCACGUUUGCCUUUAGAAUCUGCAGUCACGUAAUGCUAGACAAAGGCCACAACAACUGUAACACUUAACUCUGUUGCUGUUAGUGAACACUGGGCAUUGUCUAUGUAACAGAAGAUACUAAAUACUGUAUGCCAUACUUAACCUGAGGAGCUGUCUCACAGAGGAACUCAUGUAUGUCUUUGUACUUGUUUUCAAUUAACCAACACUUAAUUCCAGUCCUGUAUUUCUUGCUUUCUUGGUACAAUCCUAAGGGCAAAAAGUCAUUAGAUUCUGAAGAAAAGAGGUCUCUUUUAUAAGCUUAAUACAGUACUUUUAUAUUUCAGACUAUGAUAUACAAUGUAUACCAUAAAUUAAUUUAAGACAAAUACUUGUCACUUUAUCUAUGUAGGCACAAGUAAAUCAGUGACUUUACUGAAGCGGAGAUAUCUUCAAUGGUAUCAUGAUUCUGGACUCCAUUUCCUGAAUAAGGGGCACUGAAAAAAAAGGGAGACAGGGUUUAACGUCACUAACAAAGAUCAUGAACAGCUCUGCACACUCGGUUUGAACUGCUAUUGUUACCCUCAAGUUACUCUCCUAGCUAGUGCAUGCCAAGUCAUCAGCAGCCACUGACAUUCCUGUAACUGAUGCAUUUCAGUUCUAGUCCCUUCCACCAUAAUCAAAGUUAGCUUACAUUUUUCUGGUAUAUUUCCUUUGAAAUGCACCCUGUGGUACCCAAAUGUGUGGUGCUGAGCAUACUUUGGUGAGGUUUGUUAUGAAAGCUAUCUUUGAUCUCAAAGAUCUCCUGGCUUUUAGUUCCAAAGUUGAAAUUCCCCUUUCAAAGGAAUGCCUUUAACAAGGCUCCUGUACUGCAUAAAUAUUAUAAAGAAUAAUUCAAUAUAAAUUUCACUAGGGGCUCCCUGCAUUUUGGACACAGACACAAGCACCAGAGAUGCAAAAGUUAGCACUGUGCAAUGCACUAAAGAAGAAAAACGAUGGCAUGCACAAAAGUCUACCUCCAGCAUUCCAGUGAAGUUAAUAGGUUACCUGUGUAGUAGACUAGCUCAUCCCAGCCUGGUUUAUGCCAUGCAGCAUUCCUUAUAUCUUCUCUGGUUUGGAGAUCUUUGUAAGCUGGUGAGGGAAAACAACAAGCACAAAGCUUAGAAGUUACUCUUUUUCUUUCUACACAUGAAUAGCUCCCUUAAAAGUAUUCUAGUGCAUAAGUAGGAGGCUGCAAACACUGGGAAGGAAUAAAGCCAGAAGUUCUUCUCCACAAAAACGAAGAGCUCCCAAAGUCACACAAACAGAAGGAACUGGGGAAAGGAGGGAAUGCCUUAGACACAGGUGUGGUGUAUGUGAUGCUUGAAACUAAACUGUAAAAACCUGACUUCAGCAUGAACGCGGAUGGACAAGAGAUGGCAGGAUAUUGCUUGUCAUGCUUAUGUUAUUGAAAGCAAACAAGUAAGUCCCUAAUAAGAAAGGGCCAUGAGAAACUGUGGAUGGAAAGGCAAUGAAACAUGAAAUGUUCGCUUCUGCUUGCUUGUUUGAAGAAUAAAGUUACCUACACAAAACCAUCAGCACUGUCAAUGCAAAACAAAAAAAUCCCAACAACCUUUAAAGAUACUCCUUUGCCUUUUGUAAAAACCUUGUCUUCUGGGCAAAGGCAACAGUCUGCUGGGGGCUGAUUCAGUGAGAUAAAAGCAGAGAACACAGAUUUACCCCAGAGGUGAUGAACCAUAUACAGCUGUCCAAUUUGUGAGAAAAAGCCUCCAACUGCUUCAUUAUUAUCCUGUCGGAAACGAAUUGCACGAGCCCUAGAGAAGAGCAAAGCAGCCAUUAAAACCAGGAGAUCUGGGUAGGAAAUAGGCGAUAGCCAAAAGGAAAACAGCAUUGAAAGCACUUGAGGUGUUAAACAGCAUCUGCAGUAUCCACAAUUAAAAAUAAGAAAAACCUCUGCAAUACACUGCUCCUCAGCACUAUGUAUUUAAAGUAUACCUGUUACAAUGAGUUAAAAUUGCAGGCCCAUGGUUUUACUAGACUGUGCAUUAGUCAUUCUUCAAGGUUAGAUUCAGUAUAAAGAUAACUGCUGGGCCAGCGGAAAGUGGCACGUCAUUGUUAUAGCAGGUUCUUCUAAAACAAAAUCCUUGAGUUUCAGUCAUAUCACCCUCAUUUACCACAGAUUUUGGGGAAGUGAAAUACAACUCUUUAAUUCACACAGACCUUUGAAUGCAGCUGUCCUAUGCAACACUCCAUGAUUUGUUGUGUAAGUAAGAUCAAUACUUAAGUAUUAAUCUGCUGCAACUUCUGAAACAGAUUGGCUACUACUACAGACAUUAAUUGCAUCAAUUACAAUGACACGUCUGAAAAUCCAAGUCCUCACCUUUGUCAAACUACUUGAAAAUACUUCAAAUGGUGUCACUAUCAACCAUUAGAAUUGCAAGGACAGUGAAUGUAAACUGAACAAAACUUACAUUGGUUUUCAGUAAGACAAAAUCAGAAGCAUAUACUCAACAGAAGGCUGUCUCAAAUGCUUUUAACCUAGAUAUUAAAAUGGAAAUAUGCUGCCCAUCAGCUUUUCAAGAAGCAACUUGACUUUUAAAGAUUAAAAGAGCAAAGAUUUAGCCCAUUCAAACCAAAAGUAUGUCAGGUUCUUGUGGUUUGUGAAAGAUCAACACUGUCUUAAGGAAUUAACUGCAAACCUUCACUAUGCUUUUUGAUGAAAAUAAAUGGUUUCUGCUAUGUUACAGCAAACUAAAAGGGUUAUAUGAAGGAAAGCUAAACUAUAAAGCCCUUAGUGUUGUUUGCACACAGAAUUCCCCUUUCUUUCCUUGAAGGAUAAAUUAAGGGUCAAAGAACUGUCCUACAAGUUGCUUAAGUACAGAAGCAGGCCAUUAACUGGGUGACUGAAAUGCACUGGUACCAUCCUGCCACCUCCACUUCAUGAUUUUUUAACAUAAGGCUCCCAAAUAGGAGAAAACAAGUGCUAAAGUGACACUUACCAGUAAUUUCCCCACUCAAUCAUUGUUCCAGGCUACAAAAACCAAAACAAACUGUUAAACUGUAGUUGAAAGAAAGUUAGAAUACUUGGACAGUUUUCACAACAUUUACAUAUGGAAAACACUAUGUAUUAACAAAAUCACUUCCUUUGAGUGAUAAACAUAGUAUAAUCAUCUGUAAUUAUUCUGUUUACUUACUGUAUUACUUCCUUCUGCCUGAAGUUUCCUUCAAAUAAGAACACAGGGGUUUCAGCCCUGCAGAUAUUAGUAUCUUGUUGGAGCCUGCCUUCAUUUUGGACCCCCCACUUUGAGACCAACUCAGACACCAGCUUUGAUAAGAACCACAUUUCUAAGAUGAGUAAAAUAACCAACUUUAACAAAAUGAACACAUUUUACCUUAUUUUGACGGAGUUUAUUCAUGACCUCAUUGAGAGCUGGAUACCCUCCCUCAUAUCUCCACAGAUGAACUGAAACAGACAAAAGGAAGCUUUUUCCGGGAUGUCACAGACCUGUGCUAAAUGUUACGGAAUGUCACAGUAUAAAAUGCUGUUCAUACUACAGAAUUAUACAAAACCCAGAAAUCAGGUAACAUGUUUCAAAGUAAAUGGCAUUAAAGAAAGCACUACACAUGCUUUCUUUGUGAAUUGGGAGCAUUUUAAGAAUAAUGGAAUCAUCUGCUUUUGGAAAAAGGUUCUCUUGGCAAAUUUUGCCAUCUACUCCAAAGAUAACAGGGCAAUUUCUGAAAGGGCUUUUUGUUGCCAUGCUUUGGGAUAACUUUAUGUGACUGGAGUUUCAAGUAUCCUCAUUUCAGAAGAUAAUUUAAGUUCAGAAAUGUGCUUUAUACCAAUUUCAUCUC